RNAcentral lists this transfer RNA (70 nucleotides) under Camelus bactrianus (Bactrian camel). It matches the Rfam family "tRNA". Rfam says of the family: Transfer RNA (tRNA) molecules are approximately 80 nucleotides in length. Their secondary structure includes four short double-helical elements and three loops (D, anti-codon, and T loops). RNAcentral also lists the same sequence under 2 other names. Lineage: Eukaryota; Metazoa; Chordata; Mammalia; Artiodactyla; Camelidae. The record is from Rfam by way of RNAcentral.
GGAAGUAACUCAGUUGUAGAGUCCAUGCUUAGCAUGCAGGAGGUCCUGGGUUCAAUCCCCAGUACUUUCA